AGACACAAGACAAUUUGGUUACCCAGUUCCCUUAUCGGAACCAGAGAAGAGAUUUCACCAACGCUAGAAAACACUGUAAUCUCCUUGCAACACAACCUGAUCAGCACUUGAGUGUAUUUAAAGGGCAAUGGAGCUGCUGUCAUGGGCUUCGUAGAAGACUUGACCCAAGACUUAAUUGUUGAAGUCGUAUGGGCUUUAACUCUUGAAUGCAGCCCACUUGUUUUGGACCCAAUAGAGUCUUGGCCCUCUUUGUCUGAAUUGAGACAACCAAACCCUUCAAUCUCCACCUUUGUCUUCGAUUCAGCUCAGCUCCGGUUUCAUCGCCUCCUGAUCUCACUCAGUCUCCAAACCUCUUCGAGUUUUAACCGAUCUGGGCUUCACGAUGCUUCCGCUAAUCUUACGACAUCAUCUCCUCUGUCAGCUUUACCGAUGACAGAUCAUGAUUUUCAUCUUUCCUAUCGCUCACAACUCUACCUUGCGAACUGCUCAACCGUUUCCGUUUAGCCACGAUUUCUGAUUGAUCCUCUAAUUUGAAGAAUCGUCGACUAUUCUUCUGCCCUUAGUAGUUCCAAUUUUGAUGAUCGAACCCAGACCCAUGUGCCUCUCAGUUUGACCACUGACGACACGUAGUACCUUGACUCUCUCACUUAACCUCAACACUGUAACUCUCACUGAUUCAGUAGUUUCAGAGAAUCCAGACUUCAAGACGGUAGAAUUUCAGUUUUAGGUACUGUGAUUUUCCUUAGAAUUUCAACCAUUCUCAAACUUCUUCAGAACUCAUCAUCAGAUUUUACCAUCUAAUGCUGUGUAAAUCUGUCGAUUUCUUUGUAGUAAUUACCGAUACUGAUACACCUCAAUAUCUGUUUCAUGUCCAUUGUGAGAUUAUCAAAUCGACCAAGAUCAAUCUCUGGACUUCCUUUGCUGACUUAUGCUGAGACGUUCAGAAGUGCCAGGCACUUCUCAAAACUGUUACCAGGUGCGAAGAUUUCAUUGUAGUCUACCCCUUCGAUCUGCGUGAAACCUUUUGCUACAAGUCGGGCUUUGUACCUUGGAUCUUCCACACCAGGU
Molecule: long non-coding RNA, 1068 nt
Organism: Raphanus sativus (radish)
Lineage: Eukaryota; Viridiplantae; Streptophyta; Magnoliopsida; Brassicales; Brassicaceae
Exons: 6
Source: RefSeq, a predicted model, not a curated record